UGGCAGUUGAGAUUCAGACCUUGACAGUUGUAACCGAUAGACUGGGCUGGGGCAACGCUGAUGAAAGGCAAAUUCCUGAGAGAAAAAUCACCCAGAUUUUUCAGUGCCUUCUCUAGCUUUCUAGAAGUUGUUAUGAGUGGACCUGACUACCUAGAGAGAGUAAUACAGAAGCUCCGUGCCGAUCACAGCUACCUCAUUACCAUGUUCCUCCAAGAUGGCCGCCCCUGAGGAGAAUCAUCAACUGGGCUUUACGGAAGAGAGAAAUCCAAACGACCAUCAGCAACAAAUGAAAGACUGAAGUUGAAAGGAAAUCCAUAAUUUUUGAAUGCUGGCCGAGGUCUGUGACCUCUGACUGAAUGGUUUCCAAGCUCCGAAUUCCUAGGUGAUGUUUUCAUUUGUUCACACUUGCUGAAGAAGGGAAAGGCUCUCUGAUUUACGUGUAAGCAAAACAAUCUAAACAGUAGGAUAAAAUCAUGUUGGAAUGGAGUUCUGUGUGGAUGCUCCUUUGAACCAAAUCAGUUCCACAACUGACCCUGUCAGGGACAUAUAAAUUUAGCAUUUUGGUGUGGAUACAGAAGACGAGAUUAACACAGAUCAAGUAACAUGGAAAUAAAAAAGGAGACAAUGCUGGAUGAUACAGGGGCAGCCAACAAGAGGAGAAAACCCAAGCAUUGGCAAAUGCCUCAUUAUCCAAAGAACACUGAGGUGUGGAGCAAAACUGUGUUGAAUGAACUGUAGAUGGAAAUUCUCUCCUUCCCACCGAGGAGCCGCUGCAGGUUGCAGACUCCCAGAAUGCCACACUGAGAAGAGGAGGGCUAAAAUUCUAGAGCAGAAUCCCUGGGGCAGCCCCUGCUGAAGAAGGGUGCAUCUGUUGAGAAUCUCAUCACCGCCCCCACCCCGCCCAGCCUUCAAUUUAGAGGAAUUUCUAGUUCACGCAGAAUGAAGACAAGAUCACAUAAGUGAGGACGACGCCCCAUUUACAAGUGUGAUUUGGAAGACUGAAGUGGAAACCUUGGGAAGGGGCCUCAGAGUAUGUCAGCUGGGGUCAGACGGGAACAGGAGUCUGGCUCAACACACAUUUAUUGCACUCCUGUUUCAUGCCAAGAAAUGUACCAAAAUCUGGGACUGUGUAACACAGCAAAGGAAAAGACUCAUCUCCAGGAAGCCCCCUUGUCUAGGAAGAGAAAUUGAAUAUCAGCAUAAGGUGGUGAAAAGCUGUGAAGGAGAUGAGUGCCAGGAGUCCAUGGAGGAAGGAUUCUAGCCUGGACAGGUGAGGAAUGGCUUUCUGGAAGAAGCAGAUGCCCCAGCUGAACUUUAAAAUGCCCAUGUGAAAUGAACUGUCUGUAUCUUCAAUCAGCAAAUGGAGUAGGUGGCCACUGUUUAAUUCUGGAAUGGGGAAGUGUAAAGGUGUGGUGUGUGUGUUUACCCCUACUUAGGGAUUCAAAACAGACAGUAAAGAACAAAAGUCUAGCCCUUUGAGCAUUCUCCAUGGGACAUUUGAGGUCUAGCUGGCCCCAGAGAAAGAGAGACAGAAGCAAGGUCAUAUCCAUUUGAGAAAAUCAAAGUGUCUGCUCCAAUUGAGUCUGGUGUCCUUAUUCCUGGAAUAGCCAUCCCUACUGCUCUGGUGCUGAUUUACCUCCGGCAGUUCAGUGCUUCCUGGAAGGUGAUUGUGGUGAAUAGUCAUGAGAAUCUGGGAACUGGCUCCUGCUCUGUCUAUCUUGGAGAUGCAUCUUUUAGUCUCCAUGAAUUGCAAGGGAAAACAAGUGGUACACUGGUAUUUCUAUUUGAUAACCUGUUCUCUUUGGAAUUCCGGUUAGAAAUCAAAGGCUUACUUGAGUUUUAAUGCUUUCGGGACUUCAAAUGCUUUUCUAUCUUCCUAAUAAUAUAUUAACAUUUUCUGAAGACAACAUAUAUGUGGAAAACAACAUUAUUUACUCAAAUAAUUUUUUUUGAAAAAUGGACCAAAAAAAAAGAAAAACCAACAAAAA
Homo sapiens (human) is the source of this 1988-nucleotide long non-coding RNA. Ensembl annotates it as long intergenic non-protein coding RNA 1206. NCBI's taxonomy places the organism in Eukaryota, Metazoa, Chordata, Mammalia, Primates, Hominidae. The record is from Ensembl.